Molecule: ribosomal RNA, 374 nt
Filed under: uncultured eukaryote
Lineage: Eukaryota
Description: partial 18S ribosomal RNA
Rfam family: Eukaryotic small subunit ribosomal RNA
Source: RNAcentral
CAAUAGCGUAUAUUAAAGUUGUUGCAGUUAAAAAGCUCGUAGUUGGAUUUCGGUUAAGAGCGACCGGUCCGCCGUUUGGUGUGCACUGGUUGGUUUUAACUUCCUGUAGAGGACGUGCUCUGGGUUUAACGACCUGGACUCGGAGUCUACGUGGUUACUUUGAAAAAAUUAGAGUGUUCAAAGCGGGCUUACGCUUGAAUAUUUCAGCAUGGAAUAACACUAUAGGACUCCUGUCCUAUUUCGUUGGUCUCGGGACGGGAGUAAUGAUUAAGAGGAACAGUUGGGGGCAUUCGUAUUUCAUUGUCAGAGGUGAAAUUCUUGGAUUUAUGAAAGACGAACUUCUGCGAANGNAUUUGCNAAGGAUGUUUNCAUUA